ACAUCUUUUGAGUCUGAGUGUGACUUACCCAAGAUCAUGCAGUCAGUUUUAUACGUGAGCGGGGAAUUGAACCCUGAUCUCCAUAGUCAUAGUCCAGCACUCAAACCACUACAUUACUUCAACUAUGACUCCUGGAUAAUAAUGAUGAAACUUCAGUGGAAAUUGGUGAAAAUCAAUUUCUGAAAUGUUGCAUGAGUCUAGAUGUGACCAAUGGCAUCAUUAACAGGGUGCAGGGGGUUCACACUGUACUGGGUUACACCCAUCAGGAGGUGUGACACCAGUAGGGAGGCUGCAGCAGCAGCACACCCAGUGCCUUGAGGAGACCUUGUCCUAGUUGUUGUGGGUGGUAUCAGCCAAGCUGGUAGCGAGUGUUAAAGUGCCUCUGUCCUGGCCUCCACCACCUUUGUCCCACUGGCUCCACAUGGUUGCUUUUGCUCAGGAGGAGGAGAGGGAGAAUCCACCACACCUGCUUUCCUUAUCCUAGCUAUGCUAGCCAUGUGUCUCCAAGGGCAGCACCUGGGUCUGAGUGAGGAAAGAAGAUGGAGCACUGAAGAUAAACCUGGUUAUCUCAAAAACAUGGCUGUAGCCCAGAGUUGAUCAUACCACUAGGCAGAAUGUGGAAGCCAUCUCAAGCAGCAGUAUUGGUCUUCUAUGGAAACUGGCUCCUUAAAAUCAGUGCAAAGAUUACAUGUCUGUGAAAGAAGGAUGCAGGCCAGCUCACUACAGCUACAUGAUUAAACCAAUGGCUGGAGGAACAACUGAAGUCAAGAGGAAUAACUUUAAAAACCAGUCUAUAUAAAAAAAGGAAUGCAAUAGAACAGAUAAAACUAAAAGAGGAUGCAUUAUGAAAUACUAACUACCUGUCUCUACUGACCCCAUAGACACAUAAUU
Sceloporus undulatus (fence lizard) is the source of this 891-nucleotide long non-coding RNA. RefSeq lists it as uncharacterized. The record is from RefSeq and is a predicted model, not a curated record. Lineage: Eukaryota; Metazoa; Chordata; Lepidosauria; Squamata; Phrynosomatidae. The transcript has 3 exons.